Molecule: transfer RNA, 74 nt
Filed under: Microcoleus sp. FACHB-DQ6
Lineage: Bacteria; Bacillati; Cyanobacteriota; Cyanophyceae; Oscillatoriales; Microcoleaceae
Also listed under: 1 other name
Description: tRNA-Val
Rfam family: tRNA
About the family: Transfer RNA (tRNA) molecules are approximately 80 nucleotides in length. Their secondary structure includes four short double-helical elements and three loops (D, anti-codon, and T loops).
Source: RNAcentral
AGACGCAUAGCUAAGUUGGUUAGAGCACUACGUUGACAUCGUAGGGGUCACUGGUUCGAGUCGAGUUGUGUCAA